Molecule: ribosomal RNA, 2738 nt
Filed under: Stachybotrys chartarum IBT 7711
Lineage: Eukaryota; Fungi; Ascomycota; Sordariomycetes; Hypocreales; Stachybotryaceae
Description: bacterial LSU rRNA
Rfam family: Bacterial large subunit ribosomal RNA (bases 201-1936)
Source: RNAcentral
CUUCAACCUUCUAGUUCUUGGUUCAAAUCCAAGUGCUCUUGAUAAAUUUCAAUUAAAUAACCAUUAGUUUAAAUUUAAAAACAGAAGACAAUAUAAAGUUUUCAGUGUGGAAUAAAAAAAUUGAAUUAAAAGAACACGUAGAAACAAAUAAAACAAAAUAAAUUAAGAUAUAUAUAUAUUAUUUAUAUAAAGUAUAUAAAGAAAUUAUUAUGGAUUAUAAGUUAUGUAUUAAAGAGAAUAAAUUAUAGCUAAAUAUUUAUAAGAAAUAUUUAUAAUAUUAACUCUAAGAGAAAUUAAAUAAUAAACAAAGUGAAUUGAAGCAUCUUAGUAACUUUAGGAAAAGAAAUCAAAAGAGAUUCUAUGAUUAACGUGAGUUAAAGUAGAGCAGUCUAAAAAGUAGAACGGUAGAUAAACUGUUUAAACUUUAUGGGGAACCUUCCUCAAAGACUAAAUAUAAUACAUACACGUUAGUGUAAAGUACCGUAAGGGAACGAUAUGUAAAUAGUAAUUUUAUAAGCAGUUCGAGGCGUAAGCUAUAGAACGUACCUUUUGCAUAAUGGGUCACCAAGUUAACAUUAGAUGCAAGCGUGCAUAUGAAGCAUGCGUAGAUAAACCAAGCGUUAAAAUAACGGUAUAGUAUCUAAAGUUAGACCCGAAGCCUAGGGAUUUUACCACAAUCAGGAUUAUAAAAGUCCGAACGGUAUAUUGUUGCAUAAAUAUCCGAAGAAUUGUGGUAGGUAUAGUGAAAGACAACACUGACUAGGAAUAGCUGGUUUUCUGCGAAACCUAUGAUAGUAGGCAAUUUAAGUAAAUAUCUUAGCAGGUACAGAAUUUAAUCUCAGACAAGACAUGUAUAACUCUUUAUUGGUUUAUACAUGUUUUAUUUUGUACAAAUUGGGGGAUCGUGAAGAUUUUAUCAGUGAGUAUGUAGAAUCGGAAUGGCAAAGAUAUAUUUUGAAUUAUCAGACAUAGAAUGAGAAGGUUGUAUGUCAAAAGGGAAACAGCCCAGAACAAGAGUUAAGGUUCCUAAAUUAUUAGUUAAGUGAAAUUAAGAAGGUUUUUAUUUAAGUCGACAAGGAGAUAGGCUUAGAAGCAGCCAUAAUUUUAUGACCUCGUAACAGAGCGCUUGUUAAGUUAUAAAAGCAUCGAAAAUUUAACGGAUCUAAACAAUAUACCGAAACCUUGUCCAUGUUAAUUUAUGAUAAAAAUUUAUUAUAAAUAAAUGGGGUAGCAGAACGUUGGGUUAUUUUAGGAUUUUACUUUUUUAAAGUAAAAUACAACAAAUUAACCUAAGUGAUAAUGGUGACAUGAGUAACUAAAAGAAAAAUAUUCCGCCUAAAGCUUAUGGAUAGAUUUAAGUAACGGCCUCUAAGUUUAUAUUACCUAAAGGUUUGAACGAUGAGAAAAUCUUUUUUUACUAAGGACAACAUUUUUAUGUGCAAAAUGUGCAGGAAAAGUAGUAAAUAUUAAGGAUUUGUUUACAAAUUAUAAAUUUGUUUACAAAUUAAACAACCGUACCUAGAAACUGAAACAAGUAAGCUAGUAGAGAAUACGAAGGCGUAAAUGAGCUAACAAUCAUAAAGGAACUCGGCAAAAUGACUACCGUAACUUAGGGAUAAGGAGGGCUCAUUAUUCUUGAUUAAUAUCGAGUAAAAAGGAAGAAGCAUAAAAUGGUGUUGUACGACUGUUUAAUUAAAACACAGCACUUUGCAGAAAGAUAAAAAAAUCUAAGUAUAAAGUGUGAUAUCUGCCCGGUGCCGGCUGGUUAACAGAUAUACUUAAGUAUAUUACUACUUAAAAUAGACGGAACCCCCGGUUAAAGGCGGCCUUAACGUGAGGGUCCUAAGGUAGCGAAAUGCCUUGGCCGUUAAAUGCGGUCUCGCAUGAAUGGUGUAACGAUACAACAGCUGUCUCUAUGAUUGACUCAGUGAAAUUGGAAUAGCUGUGCAGAUACAGCUUACCUCUAGUUAGACGAGAAGACCCUAUGCAGCUUUACUGUCACUAAUUAUAGAAUACGUUAAACAAUUAUCAGUUUAUAAGGUAAUAGAUUAUAUAAUCAUGAGAACCCUUUAUUUUUUUCAUCGUAUGAAUGAAUUAACUUAGGAAAACCUACUAUAUAAUGAAUAUAACCCUUACUAGGUUAAUUAUUAUUUAGUAUAUAGUAAAAGUUUUAGUAAGUUAACCUAGUUCAACUUUUAUAUAUACUUUAUUGUAUUUAUAAAAGUAACCUUUGGUAAGGAAUUAUCGCUAGGAGACAGUUUAUGUGGGGCACAGACCCUGUAAAGAGUAAACAGGUGUGUCUAAUAAUUUACAAACAAUUUGUUUGCAAUUUUUAAUAGUUUAACUAUUAUUAAUCAUAUAUAUUAAUUAUAUUUAUACUUAGUAUAAAUAUAGUUAUAAUUAGGUAAGAUUUUCACUACAGUGAAAGUAGAGAUAAUCAAAAAUAGUAUGAAUUUUUCUACUAUUUUUUUAGUUGGAGCUUAUAGCUUAACUAAUGUUUUUAUUAUCUAAAAAGCUCAACGGCUAAAUCUUGCCUUACUGUUUGAUUAUCUACAAAUCUUACAGUUGCGUAAGCAGGGCAUAGGAUCACAAGAUACAAAAAGGAAAGAUCUUGGAUUAUUGGAAAAGCUACGCUAGGGAUGUUUGUCCUUUAAUAUUCGGGCGCGAGCUCGAAUAAUUAAUACAUAUAUUGGGUAAAUUUCAAGAAUUGCUAUAUUAGCAGAUUUGAAGCGAAAUUU